GAAAUUAUCCUCAAGAUAUGAAAGAAAACUAUUUCAAAUGCUUAAUUUAAUUAAUAGUCAACAACUUAGCCACGUGUGGUGGUGUGCCUGUAGUCCCAGCUACUAGGCAGGGUAAGGUAGGAGGAGCCCUUGUGCCAGGAGUUUGAGGCUGUAGUACACUAUUAUUGAGCUUAUGAAUAACCUCUGCACUUCAGCCUGGGCAAUAAAGCAAGACCCAGUCUCUAGAAAAAAAAAAUGAUUAGGUAAAGAAAAGAAAACAAAUUUUCACAAUGGGAGAAUGUGGUUUUACUAUCUGCUAGGCCCCUUCCAUCAAUUCUUAUUAAAUUCUCAAAAUAAUCCUUUGAAAAGGGAGUAUAAUUACAUUUUACAGUGACUCGAACCUUACCCAAACAAGUGGGAGAGCCAGGAGCCAAACUAUCAGGCUCCAAAGCUUUUUUUUAGUGCAUCACAAUGACAAAGGGGUGGUUUUCUUUCACCCAAGAAUGUGCUUUCCUGGAAAUUUUUCUAGAUAGAAUAUUAUGUAAUUUGUUUUGAAGGUUUUUUUUCCUGACUGUCUUAAAGAUUAUGCUAGCUUUAGAACACAUGCAAACAGCUGCAGCUCUGUGAUUAAAAUGUUAAGGUCACUAGAAUAGUGUUAGGAAAAUGUUAAUAGAUAAUUCUGCUGCCUCUAUUAGCUUAUGUAUGAUCCUUAAUAGCAUUGCUUCCCCUUCAGUUUCUAUUUAGGAGGUGAAGAAUCUUUUAAUAAGGUAGAAAGUUGCUUUAUUUAAAUUUGUACUGUAGAAUGUUUGUGAUACAGUAUUUGUAAAAUUGAUAUGAAAAAUAAUUUCUCAAAGUCUAUUGUUUGAUCUAGUUAUUUUAAUAAAGGAACUCUAGAAGUUUCAAGUGGCCAGUGAAGUGUGAGGAAUAGAGAGUAAAGGAAAUAAUUAAUAAUGGUGACCCUCUGUUAAGUGGUUUACUUUUUCCAUUAAUAUAAAUUUCAUUUGGAAAGAUUAAAAAAAC
This 999-nucleotide long non-coding RNA is filed under the name Homo sapiens (human). RNAcentral describes it as "non-protein coding lnc-SOCS2-4:4". Lineage: Eukaryota; Metazoa; Chordata; Mammalia; Primates; Hominidae. The record is from RNAcentral.